Long non-coding RNA from Pollicipes pollicipes, 309 nucleotides. RefSeq lists it as uncharacterized. The record is from RefSeq and is a predicted model, not a curated record. The transcript is spliced from 3 exons. NCBI's taxonomy places the organism in Eukaryota, Metazoa, Arthropoda, Thecostraca, Pollicipedomorpha, Pollicipedidae.
GCCGGUCCGACAGCAGCGCCGCCCGCCAGCGCCAGCGCAGCUCGGAGCGCGAGAAGGAGAACACCUCGCCCGGCCAGGCGGUGCUGACGCUGUUUGACCGCCUGGCCGAUGCGACACAGCAAGACAGAGCUGUCGUCGUUCGAUCGGCAGUUCCCGCUCAGCCGCAGGACGGACUCGAGCCGGCUGCCGAGGCCGGACGGCGGCGAGGCGUCCCGGCCCUGGCGCACCUCCAGCACUCGAUCCGAGUCAUCCCCGGACUGGACAGCGCCACGGGACACCAGCACCAGCACCAGCGCCAGCGCCAACGCC